Molecule: ribosomal RNA, 497 nt
Filed under: uncultured bacterium
Lineage: Bacteria
Description: partial 16S ribosomal RNA
Rfam family: Bacterial small subunit ribosomal RNA
Source: RNAcentral
GACGAACGCUGGCGGCGUGCCUAAUACAUGCAAGUUGAGCGAUGAAGAUUGGUGCUUGCACCAAUUUGAAGAGCAGCGAACGGGUGAGUAACGCGUGGGGAAUCUGCCUUUGAGCGGGGGACAACAUUUGGAAACGAAUGCUAAUACCGCAUAACAACUUUAAACAUAAGUUUUAAGUUUGAAAGAUGCAAUUGCAUCACUCAAAGAUGAUCCCGCGUUGUAUUAGCUAGUUGGUGAGGUAAAGGCUCACCAAGGCGAUGAUACAUAGCCGACCUGAGAGGGUGAUCGGCCACCUUGGGACUGGGGCACGGCCCACACUCCUGCGGGAGGCAGCAGUAGGGGAUCUUCGGCAAUAGCCGCAAGUCUGACCGAGCAACGCCGCGUGAGUGAAGGAGGUUGUCGGAUCGUAAAACUCUGUUGGUAGAGAAGAACGUUGGUGAGAGUGGAAAGCUCAUCAAGUGACGGUAACUACCCAGAAAGGGACGGCUAACUACGUG